AUGGAUGAUCUCUCCGGGACCAGUCUCUCCCACCGGCCGUAUACUCUCUCCCAACAAUCACCUGCAAAUAGCAAAGAGCACAGCAAAAAUAAUUUGACCUCCCUCUCACGGCCCGACGAUCUUCACUCGCACUUUCUUGGCGUGCAUCUCGGCGAACUCGGUCUCCGAUACCUCCGAGUUGGACGACGACGUGAGGUGCCUCACCGAGUGGCGGUCGUCGCCGGCGUGGCGCGACCCUGCGACGCCGCCGCACGCCGCCGAGGCGAGCACGAGCAGUGCCAUGGCCGUCGACAGGGCGGCGAGCGCGGCCCACGUCGCCCGCGCGCCGCGCCGCAGCGGCGCGCACUGGUUGCCCACGAUGUCCGCGAAGCCGGCCUUCACCAGCUCGCAGCUCACCAGCCGCUCCGUGCCCGGGAAGAUGUCCAGCACGUUCUGGAUGGAGCUCGUGUACGUCUGCACCUUGUCGUAGUCGAUCGCCGACGAGAGCUCGGCCGGCGCGCAGUUGGCGCCACCGCCCAACUCCGAGCACGUCAGCCUCCUCAGGAUCUUCACAACAACAACGUUCAAGAUUAG
Molecule: ribosomal RNA, 573 nt
Filed under: Triticum aestivum (bread wheat)
Lineage: Eukaryota; Viridiplantae; Streptophyta; Magnoliopsida; Poales; Poaceae
Description: partial small subunit ribosomal RNA
Source: RNAcentral